GGGUCGUUAGCUCAGUCGGUAGAGCAGCAGACUUUUAAUCCGUUGGUCGAGCGUUCGAAUCGCUCACGACCCACCA
This 76-nucleotide transfer RNA is filed under the name Neisseria gonorrhoeae. Its description in RNAcentral is "tRNA-Lys". It matches the Rfam family "tRNA". Rfam says of the family: Transfer RNA (tRNA) molecules are approximately 80 nucleotides in length. RNAcentral also lists the same sequence under 1 other name. The record is from RNAcentral. Lineage: Bacteria; Pseudomonadati; Pseudomonadota; Betaproteobacteria; Neisseriales; Neisseriaceae.